This 253-nucleotide ribosomal RNA is filed under the name uncultured bacterium. Its description in RNAcentral is "partial 16S ribosomal RNA". It matches the Rfam family "Bacterial small subunit ribosomal RNA", at positions 524 to 776 of the family's 1533-position model. The record is from RNAcentral.
UACGGAGGGCGCAAGCGUUGUUCGGAAUUACUGGGCGUAAAGCGCGUGUAGGCGGUUUGGUAAGUAGGUUGUGAAAUCCCAGGGCUCAACCCGGGAACUGCAUCCGAAACUUCCAGGCUAGAGUUUCGGAGAGGAAGGCAGAAUUCCCAAUGUAGGGGUGAAAUCCGUAGAUAUUGGGAGGAAUACCAGUGGCGAAGGCGGCCUUCUGGGCGAUGACUGACGCUCAGACGCGAAAGCGUGGGGAGCAAACAGG